This 609-nucleotide ribosomal RNA is filed under the name uncultured fungus. RNAcentral describes it as "eukaryotic LSU rRNA". It matches the Rfam family "Eukaryotic large subunit ribosomal RNA", at positions 23 to 673 of the family's 3401-position model. Lineage: Eukaryota; Fungi. The record is from RNAcentral.
ACCCGCUGAAUUUAAGCAUAUCAAUAAGCGGAGGAAAAGAAACCAACAGGGAUUGCCUUAGUAACGGCGAGUGAAGCGGCAAAAGCUCAAAUUUGAAAUCGGCCUCCAGGUCGAGUUGUAAUUUGUAGAUUGUAUCUUGAGAGCGGAUUAAAGUCUGUUGGAACACAGCGCCUUAGAGGGUGACAGCCCCGUAAAAUCUAUUCUCAUUGUAAGAUACUUUCGAAGAGUCGAGUUGUUUGGGAAUGCAGCUCUAAGUGGGAGGUAAAUUCCUUCCAAAGCUAAAUAUUGACGAGAGACCGAUAGCGAACAAGUACUGUGAAGGAAAGAUGAAAAGCACUUUGAAAAGAGAGUGAAAAAGUACGUGAAAUUGUUAAAAGGGAAGGGUAUUGAAUCAGACUUGGUGCUGUUGUUCAACUGUGUUUCGGCACAGUGUACUCAGCAGUACUAGGCCAAGGUGGGGUGUUUGGGAGUGAAAAAGAAGUUGGAACGUAACUCUUCGGAGUGUUAUAGCCUACUUUCAUAGCUCCUCAGGCGCCUCAGGACUGCGCUUCGGCAAGGACCUUGGCAUAAUGAUUCUAUACCGCCCGUCUUGAAACAGGGACCAAGGAG